RNAcentral lists this long non-coding RNA (260 nucleotides) under Hordeum vulgare. Its description in RNAcentral is "long non-coding RNA (HVUL_LNC012701)". Lineage: Eukaryota; Viridiplantae; Streptophyta; Magnoliopsida; Poales; Poaceae. The record is from RNAcentral.
UGUGUGGCUAUUGGGACAAAUUGCAUAUCUGGAGAGGAGCAUCCUAACGACAGGCGCGGAAUCUAGGUACCAAGGAUAACAACCGUGUGAGAUAGGAAUUAUCCAGGACAACUGUUUGUGUGGGAAAUGGAGUCCCAUAGACGUUGGAGAUCCACAAACCACUUCCGCCAUCAACCACUAGAAACCCUUAUUGGACUCCCUAGGCCAUCAAGGUCUUGUAAUCCCAACAUUUUUAUUUUCUUGGAUAUUUGUAUCAAGGA